Molecule: unclassified non-coding RNA, 307 nt
Organism: Fukomys damarensis (Damara mole-rat)
Lineage: Eukaryota; Metazoa; Chordata; Mammalia; Rodentia; Bathyergidae
Gene: 7SK
Rfam family: 7SK RNA
About the family: 7SK was discovered as an abundant small nuclear RNA in the mid-70s but a possible function has only recently been suggested. Two independent studies have found that 7SK RNA binds the CDK9/cyclin T complex (known as elongation factor P-TEFb).
Source: Ensembl
UGUUGGGAAGGCAGUCUGGCUGGGACAUGUGUCACACCAUUGAUCACCAGGGUAGAUUCAGCUAAUCUGGCUGGCUAGGUAGGUGUUGCUUUCCUCCUUCACUGCUCCAUGUACAUCCUGAAGACCACCAACUCUGAUAGAGGAGGACCGUUUCCUUGGUCAAGGGUAUAUGACUGGCUGCACUUCCUUGCUAGAACCUCCAAACAAGCUCUUAAAUUAUGCAGUGCUAUUCUGACUGAUUAUUGGGGGAGUUACGAAAGGAUUUAGCAAAAUGGAUACACAAGGUAGAUGUGGGGGCACAUGCCUG